Molecule: small nucleolar RNA, 132 nt
Filed under: Cavia porcellus (domestic guinea pig)
Lineage: Eukaryota; Metazoa; Chordata; Mammalia; Rodentia; Caviidae
Description: Small nucleolar RNA SNORA25 (ENSCPOG00000028842.2)
Source: RNAcentral
AUAUAAUUUUAAAGAGGGCUUGUGGGACCAUGAGGCACAAUUUCUUAAUGCUAUUACCAAAGAUUGCAUUUCUCCAAAGGAUUCCAUAACCAUUCAAUCAAUAGUGCUAUGUUUUCCUUAGGAUAAAAGAGU